AGCUGUUAUUUUUGAUAAAGAUAACUGCUUGAUGAGACCUUAUGAAUUAGAAAUUUUCCCAAACCUUCGUGAUGCUUUUAAUGACUGUGUUAGUAUUUUUGGCCCUGAAAACGUUGCUAUAAUCUCCAACAGUGCAGGUUCUUCUGACGAUCAUAAUUAUUUUGAGGCUUUAAAAUUAGAAAAGACUUUGGGAAUUCGAGUAGUUAAGCACGGAACGAAAAAGCCUGCUGGUCGUGAAUUGCUUCUUCGCUUUUUUCGUUUUCGUUCUGAAGAGAUUGUUAUGAUUGGAGAUCGCAUACUUACUGAUGUUGUACUUGGGAAUAUGUGCAACUUUUUGACAAUACACACUCAGAAAAUUACUUCAAAAGACGAUUAUUACUUUGCUAAAUUGAUCCGAUUCUUUGAAAACUUUUUUUUAAAAAAUGAAAUUAAACGGGACCAUGCGCUGGCUAAAUCAAGCGUUAUCAAGAUUUCA
Long non-coding RNA from Zophobas morio, 475 nucleotides. RefSeq lists it as uncharacterized. The record is from RefSeq and is a predicted model, not a curated record. NCBI's taxonomy places the organism in Eukaryota, Metazoa, Arthropoda, Insecta, Coleoptera, Tenebrionidae. The transcript is spliced from 5 exons.